UAAGCCACUUCCUCAUACUAGCCGAGCAC
RNAcentral lists this non-coding RNA (29 nucleotides) under Bombyx mori (domestic silkworm). The record is from RNAcentral. Lineage: Eukaryota; Metazoa; Arthropoda; Insecta; Lepidoptera; Bombycidae.